CAGCGACUUAACUGAACCUUCGGGGAACGUUAAGGGCGGCGAGCGGCGGACGGGUGAGUAAUGCCUGGGAAUAUGCCCUGAUGUGGGGGAUAACUAUUGGAAACGAUAGCUAAUACCGCAUAAUCUCUUCGGAGCAAAGAGGGGGACCUUCGGGCCUCUCGCGUCAGGAUUAGCCCAGGUGGGAUUAGCUUGUUGGUGAGGUAAUGGCUCACCAAGGCAACGAUCCCUAGCUGGUCUGAGAGGAUGAUCAGCCACACUGGAACUGAGACACGGUCCAGACUCCUACGGGAGGCAGCAGUGGGGAAUAUUGCACAAUGGGGGAAACCCUGAUGCAGCCAUGCCGCGUGUGUGAAGAAGGCCUUCGGGUUGUAAAGCACUUUCAGUAGGGAGGAAGGUAGUGUAGUUAACACCUGCAUUAUUUGACGUUACCUACAGAAGAAGCACCGGCUAACUCCGUG
This 458-nucleotide ribosomal RNA is filed under the name Photobacterium damselae subsp. damselae. RNAcentral's name for it is "bacterial SSU rRNA". It matches the Rfam family "Bacterial small subunit ribosomal RNA", at positions 64 to 507 of the family's 1533-position model. The record is from RNAcentral. Lineage: Bacteria; Pseudomonadati; Pseudomonadota; Gammaproteobacteria; Vibrionales; Vibrionaceae.